CCUACGGGAGGCAGCAGUAGGGAAUCUUCGGCAAUGGGGGCAACCCUGACCGAGCAACGCCGCGUGAGUGAAGAAGGUUUUCGGAUCGUAAAGCUCUGUUGUAAGUCAAGAACGGGUGUGAGAGUGGAAAGUUCACACUAUGACGGUAGCUUACCAGAAAGGGACGGCUAACUACGUGCCAGCAGCCGCGGUAAUACGUAGGUCCCGAGCGUUGUCCGGAUUUAUUGGGCGUAAAGCGAGCGCAGGCGGUUUGAUAAGUCUGAAGUUAAAGGCUGUGGCUCAACCAUAGUUCGCUUUGGAAACUGUCAAACUUGAGUGCAGAAGGGGAGAGUGGAAUUCCAUGUGUAGCGGUGAAAUGCGUAGAUAUAUGGAGGAACACCGGUGGCGAAAGCGGCUCUCUGGUCUGUAACUGACGCUGAGGCUCGAAAGCGUGGGGAGCCGAACAGGUAUUAGACUACCCGUGGUACGUCCGACGACCGUAACGUAGUAGUAGUGUCGUAGGUUAGGUUAGGUACGUUCCGUUUACCGGGUUACGUUACGUAGUAGUCCGCCGACGACGUAACCGGACGUAAGUUAACGUACCACCGUCCCGUCCCGGUCGGGGUACGGGUACCGGACCCGGACCGAACGGUUACGGUAAACCGUACGAAAGUAGUAAGUUAGUACGGACGUGAGACGUACGACCGACGGACGACGACGGAGGGGAGGAGG
RNAcentral lists this ribosomal RNA (711 nucleotides) under uncultured bacterium. RNAcentral's name for it is "bacterial SSU rRNA". The stretch from base 1 to 552 matches the Rfam family "Bacterial small subunit ribosomal RNA", at positions 338 to 873 of the family's 1533-position model. The record is from RNAcentral.